AAGGAUCAUUAACGAAUCGAACAAGAGCGCCCCCUCGGCUGAUGCUGGCCCCUCGGGGCACGUGCACGCCUUGGGGCGCCUCUUCCAUUCGCCUUCCCCCCCUUGUGCACUCCAUGUAGGUCGUCGUCGGCGGUCCCCUCCGCCCUUGGCGCCUACGAUUUUCGUCUUUGUACGCACCCCGAUCGCAUGUCUUUAUUAUCGUUGAUAACACAACACGAAAUACAACUUUCAACAACGGAUCUCUUGGCUCUC
RNAcentral lists this unclassified non-coding RNA (252 nucleotides) under uncultured fungus. Its description in RNAcentral is "partial contains 18S rRNA, ITS1, 5.8S rRNA, ITS2 and 28S rRNA". The record is from RNAcentral. Lineage: Eukaryota; Fungi.